This is a long non-coding RNA of Lucilia cuprina (Australian sheep blowfly), 371 nucleotides long. RefSeq lists it as uncharacterized. The record is from RefSeq and is a predicted model, not a curated record. The transcript is spliced from 2 exons. Lineage: Eukaryota; Metazoa; Arthropoda; Insecta; Diptera; Calliphoridae.
GGUGUUGAUAAUAUAAAACGUUUGGGUUAAACCCAAACAAAAUAAUUCUUAGAAUUUUAUUAUUUUUUUCCUAUAUAUUGAAAAUGUUUGAAAAUCUUAGUAUAAAUAUAGGUUUCCUUUAAUGUUUCAAUAUCAUUUAACACGAUGAAAUUGUACGCUUACUUUGGUUUUGUUUUGGCCUUAAUAGCCUUAGCUAUGGGCUAUCCUAAUCCUGAACCUCAACCAAAUCCUCUUCCCUUGGGCGGUGGAGGUGGCGGAGGCGGCGGUGGUGGUGGCAAGUAAUUCACCUACUCCAUGAAAAAUUUCCUUGUAUUAUGAAAAAUAAAUGAUUAUACAAAAUAAAAUAUAUUUUUUUCUUUUUCUUAUCAAAA